Molecule: long non-coding RNA, 266 nt
Filed under: Vigna radiata
Lineage: Eukaryota; Viridiplantae; Streptophyta; Magnoliopsida; Fabales; Fabaceae
Description: long non-coding RNA (VRAD_LNC002484)
Source: RNAcentral
AGACACAGCAUAUACCUUUUUUAUAAGUAGAGAACAUAAACCUGUGAGUCUUGGUUGGUGUCAUUUGUUUUUUUUUUUUCAGUUAAUUCUUACUUUUUAUUAAUAAAGGAAUUAAAUUUAUAAUUUUUUUCAAGUUUUUUUUUAAAUUAACUAUAUUUCUCAAUGGAAGUUAAAUUAACAAUUUUUUUAUUUUAUUUUAAUUUUUAUCAUUAUAUCAAUCUUAUACUUUCUACGUAGUGAUACUUGUAACAUGACAAUUUGAAAAC